CUUCUACCCGUGGAAGUCUGUGCUCACUUCUUCCCGACCCUGCCGGACUCCAGCUUCCGCGCCCGCUGGCAGCCCAAGGACACGUCCCGCCGCCCCACGGCGCUGGGGACGCUGCGGGGUUCAGUGUCCCUUCCUUCCGGAUCCGCGUUUGAAUCCCCCUUCCUCGGAUCCCGUACGCAGCCCAGAGCCCGGCGAUCUGACUUCUUCCGUGGGCGGCCACUCAGUGACCCGAGCGGCGGCGUUUUGGCCCGGAGGGUGGGCGCAACGUGGGGACCGCCCGGGUCCAGCCGGCUUGCGCGCCGCCCCUCCUCGCUGCAGCUGGGCACGUUGGGCGGCAGGAGAGGCUGCUGUCUUCCUGGCUCUCCCUUCCUAAGCUCCCGGGUCUGCGAAAGUUUGGGAAGGGCGAUUCAGCUUCGCACCUGAGCUGUUUAAGGACCAGAUCUGACCUUUUUUUCUGAAGAUUGCCCGUGGGGCGUGCCAGUCUCUCGCCCGACCUUGGGAAGUGGACAAGGAGUGAUUUCAGAGUCGUUUCUCGACCUGCUGUGUGUUUGGCAUUUGGGUGGGUGGUUAGGUGGGCCCUCUUAUCCUAAACCAAGAGAGCUUAACCCCCUCUUGGGACACGAACCCCUUAAAGAAUCAGAUGACAGCUUCUGUCCUUUUGCCCAGGAAAAUACCCGACAUAGGCGCACCCAAAACGUUCCCUACAGUCGCAGGGGGGUUCUGGUUUCCCAAAC
Molecule: long non-coding RNA, 734 nt
Filed under: Homo sapiens (human)
Lineage: Eukaryota; Metazoa; Chordata; Mammalia; Primates; Hominidae
Description: HSALNT0114888
Source: RNAcentral